GACGAACGCUGGCGGCGUGCCUAAUACAUGCAAGUCGAACGAGUGGCGGACGGUUGAGUAAUAUAUCGGAACGGGCGCAGGAGAGGGGGAGAAAUACUCGAAAGAGUGGCUAAUACCGCAUACGAGUGGAGCGGCCGUUAUCGGAUUAGCUAGUGGGUGGGGUAAAGGCUCACCAAGGCAACGAUCCGUAGCUGGUUUGAGAGGACGACCAGCCACACUGGGACUGAGACACGGCCCAGACUCCUACGGGAGGCAGCAGUGGGGAAUUUUGGACAAUGGGCGAAAGCCUGAUCCAGCCAUCCCGCGUGUAUGAGAAGGCCUUCGGGUUGUAAAGUACUUUUGGCAGAGAAGCGGUGUCUGCAGAAUAAGCACCGGCUAACUCCGUGCCAGCAGCCGCGGUAAUUC
Molecule: ribosomal RNA, 405 nt
Filed under: uncultured bacterium
Lineage: Bacteria
Description: partial 16S ribosomal RNA
Rfam family: Bacterial small subunit ribosomal RNA
Source: RNAcentral